Pelobates cultripes (western spadefoot toad) is the source of this 572-nucleotide non-coding RNA. The record is from the annotation of a GenBank genome assembly. NCBI's taxonomy places the organism in Eukaryota, Metazoa, Chordata, Amphibia, Anura, Pelobatidae.
CUGCAUUUGUAAUAAAAAGUAAUGGUGAUGUUAAAUUGCUCAUCAGGUUUUUACCUAAAACUCACUUUUGGAAUAAGCAAAAUCUUAUCUCAAAAAAGCUUAUAUACAUUGCCAUGACACAGGUGGCAGAAGGGUGCACAGAGCACACCCCUCCCGCUGGCGCGAGCAUGCUCCGAUCUACCAGGGCAUUGCUGGUGGCUUGCUAUGCGGCUGGUGCCUGCUCUGUGCAUGUCCAAUAGGGCAUCAUUUAAAAAAAAUAUAUUAAGGAUUGGAGUAACCCUUUAAUCACUUCAGAUCGCUUUAUCUGUGAUUUACAUUCAUUUAUUUUUGUAUUUGGGCUGUGAAGUUUCCCUUUAAGGAUUGCUGGUGUUCUGUUACAUACAUGUCAGGAGAGGAGCUACUGAAACAGAAUCACAUUGCCUCUGUCUACCAUCUCCAAUUCUACAAGAUCUUAUCAUUAGAGGGAUGGGUUAAUGCCGGUAUUGAGAAAUAAUAGCUGCUAAGAUAUGUAUGUCCUGGUACUAUACUGAGAUUUAAUACCCAGCAAAGUGCAGUAUACAUAGGGUUACCAG